Molecule: transfer RNA, 75 nt
Filed under: Candidatus Saccharimonadota bacterium
Lineage: Bacteria; Candidatus Saccharimonadota
Description: tRNA-Asn
Rfam family: tRNA
About the family: Transfer RNA (tRNA) molecules are approximately 80 nucleotides in length. Their secondary structure includes four short double-helical elements and three loops (D, anti-codon, and T loops). Further hydrogen bonds mediate the characteristic L-shaped molecular structure. tRNAs have two regions of fundamental functional importance: the anti-codon, which is responsible for specific mRNA codon recognition, and the 3' end, to which the tRNAs corresponding amino acid is attached (by aminoacyl-tRNA synthetases). tRNAs cope with the degeneracy of the genetic code in two manners: having more than one tRNA (with a specific anti-codon) for a particular amino acid; and 'wobble' base-pairing, i.e. permitting non-standard base-pairing at the 3rd anti-codon position.
Source: RNAcentral
UCCCGGGUAGCUCAAUGGUGGAGCAGGAAGCUGUUAACUUCAAGGUUGCCGGUUCAAGUCCGGCCCCGGGAGCCA